UUCAACCCUUAAGCCUCUGUUGCUUAGCGUUGGGAGCCUACAGCACCUGUAGCUCCUCAAAGUUAGUGGCGGAGUCGGUUCACACUCUAGACGUAGUAAUUUUAUCUCGCCUAUUAGUUGGACCGGUCUCCCGCCGUAAAACCCCUAUUUUUAAAGGUU
Molecule: unclassified non-coding RNA, 159 nt
Filed under: Xylaria sp. CBSC II-A
Lineage: Eukaryota; Fungi; Ascomycota; Sordariomycetes; Xylariales; Xylariaceae
Description: ITS2
Source: RNAcentral